AAAGCUCAAAUGCAGAGGAGUGCAAGAGAUCUGACUGCAAACCAGAGACCCCAAGAAUCCAGCCAAGUGCCUGGAUCCCACAGCAAUAUUCUGCACAACUGAAGGCCAAGAGUUCAAGGCAACGUCUUCCAUGAGUCCAGCCAGAGGCCUAGAGCUCACAGCAAUGUCCCAUGCUUGUCUGUAUUAAGUAUCUGCACCCAGAAGGCCCAAAGGCCAGUGGUGGAAGCCAGAAAACCUGCACCAGUGGGGUGAAGGAUUUGUGCCACCAGGCCGAGGGAUCUACAUUGAGGCCAGAAGUAGCAUUCACAGUGAAUAUCAGAGCUUCCCUAACAAGAACAGCAUCCGUUCCCAGGGAUAGCAAGGACCUGAGCUCCUCCUCUGACAAAAACAGCUAUGUUUACAUCAUAUAAACUAACCACAGCAAGCUUCACCUAGAAAAUCAACAGCCCAAGAAUUCCCCUCUAAUUCUUUUUAUGCCACUGGCAACAAUCACCAGUGGGAAUGAAUGGGGUAACCUCGGCUCCUCCCAGUUGUCGUCUGUGUUUCUCCAAGUGGGAGCACCUCCCCAUGUCAGGCCCUGUUCAAAUUCACUUUCAUCAUAUACCUCCUGGAAAAAAGAGCUCUCCUGGAAGGAACAGGCAGAAAAUUUUAUCCAACCAUCAAUGAGUGGAAAAGAAGACCUCAGGUUCUUUGGGAACCUUCUGCUGAAGCAGCUGUAG
Molecule: long non-coding RNA, 719 nt
Filed under: Fukomys damarensis (Damara mole-rat)
Lineage: Eukaryota; Metazoa; Chordata; Mammalia; Rodentia; Bathyergidae
Description: lncRNA (ENSFDAG00000021587.1)
Source: RNAcentral